RNAcentral lists this ribosomal RNA (465 nucleotides) under Vreelandella stevensii. RNAcentral describes it as "partial 16S ribosomal RNA". It matches the Rfam family "Bacterial small subunit ribosomal RNA", at positions 338 to 795 of the family's 1533-position model. Lineage: Bacteria; Pseudomonadati; Pseudomonadota; Gammaproteobacteria; Oceanospirillales; Halomonadaceae. The record is from RNAcentral.
CCUACGGGGGGCAGCAGUGGGGAAUAUUGGACAAUGGGGGGAACCCUGAUCCAGCCAUGCCGCGUGUGUGAAGAAGGCCCUCGGGUUGUAAAGCACUUUCAGUGAGGAAGAACGCUUGGUGGUUAAUACCCAUCAGGAAAGACAUCACUCACAGAAGAAGCACCGGCUAACUCCGUGCCAGCAGCCGCGGUAAUACGGAGGGUGCGAGCGUUAAUCGGAAUUACUGGGCGUAAAGCGCGCGUAGGUGGCUUGAUAAGCCGGUUGUGAAAGCCCCGGGCUCAACCUGGGAACGGCAUCCGGAACUGUCAAGCUAGAGUGCAUGAGAGGAAGGUAGAAUUCCCGGUGUAGCGGUGAAAUGCGUAGAGAUCGGGAGGAAUACCAGUGGCGAAGGCGGCCUUCUGGACUGACACUGACACUGAGGUGCGAAAGCGUGGGUAGCAAACAGGAUUAGAUACCCCAGUAGUC